RNAcentral lists this ribosomal RNA (497 nucleotides) under uncultured bacterium. RNAcentral describes it as "partial 16S ribosomal RNA". It matches the Rfam family "Bacterial small subunit ribosomal RNA", at positions 28 to 507 of the family's 1533-position model. The record is from RNAcentral.
GAUGAACGCUGGCGGCGUGCCUAAUACAUGCAAGUCGAGCGAACAGAUAAGGAGCUUGCUCCUUUGACGUUAGCGGCGGACGGGUGAGUAACACGUGGGUAACCUACCUAUAAGACUGGAAUAACUCCGGGAAACCGGGGCUAAUGCCGGAUAACAUUUAGAACCGCAUGGUUCUAAAGUGAAAGAUGGUUUUGCUAUCACUUAUAGAUGGACCCGCGCCGUAUUAGCUAGUUGGUAAGGUAACGGCUUACCAAGGCAACGAUACGUAGCCGACCUGAGAGGGUGAUCGGCCACACUGGAACUGAGACACGGUCCAGACUCCUACGGGAGGCAGCAGUAGGGAAUCUUCCGCAAUGGGCGAAAGCCUGACGGAGCAACGCCGCGUGAGUGAUGAAGGUCUUCGGAUCGUAAAACUCUGUUAUUAGGGAAGAACAAAUGUGUAAGUAACUGUGCACGUCUUGACGGUACCUAAUCAGAAAGCCCCGGCUAACUACGUG